Molecule: ribosomal RNA, 279 nt
Filed under: uncultured bacterium
Lineage: Bacteria
Description: partial 16S ribosomal RNA
Rfam family: Bacterial small subunit ribosomal RNA
Source: RNAcentral
UGCCAGCCGCCGCGGUAAUACGUAGGUGGCGAGCGUUAUUCGGAUUUAUUGGGCGUAAAGGGUCCGUAGGGGGUUUGUCAAGUCUGAUGUGAAAUGCCGAGGCUCAACCUCGGAACUGCAUUGGAAACUGGCUUACUAGAGCAUAGGAGAGGAGAGUGGAAUUCCUGGUGUAGCGGUGGAAUGCGUAGAUAUCAGGAGGAACACCGAUGGCGAAGGCAGCUCUCUGGCCUAUCGCUGACCCUGAGGGACGAAAGCUAGGGGAGCAAACAGGAUUAGAUA